Molecule: ribosomal RNA, 253 nt
Filed under: uncultured bacterium
Lineage: Bacteria
Also listed under: 2 other names
Description: partial 16S ribosomal RNA
Rfam family: Bacterial small subunit ribosomal RNA
Source: RNAcentral
UACAGAGGGUGCGAGCGUUAAUCGGAGUUACUGGGCGUAAAGGGCGCGUAGGCGGUUAUAUAAGAUUGGUGUGAAAUCCCUGGGCUUAACCUAGGAACUGCAUCGAUAACUGUAUGACUGGAGUAUUGUAGAGGGUAGUGGAAUUUCCGGUGUAGCGGUGAAAUGCGUAGAGAUCGGAAGGAACACCAGUGGCGAAGGCGGCUACCUGGACAAAUACUGACGCUGAGGCGCGAGAGCGUGGGGAGCAAACAGG